CAACAAGCUCCCAACAAUGUUGUGAUUAAAUUCGACUGAUAAAUUAAAUGCCAUUUAUAUAUUCUUAUAUUUCAUUAAUUAAAGCAAAAUAUUUUAAUUGUUCUAGGAGGUUCAUGUAGAACCCGAGUCCUAAAAACCUUGGCGAAGAAUGUGGUACAUUGAGUGAUGCAGAAAAAGAUUUUGAAAUUGACUAUGUACAUGAUUCUGUUGGCUCAGCUAUUCCUGUGCCAUCAAGUCCUGCUGCUGUGUUCAAUUUUAGUGAUAAUCUCUCACCAAUUUUCAAAGAGUCACCAUGUAAGGGCUCAGCAGGAAAUAACCCAGGUACUCUUGGUGAUAUUGUCCAAAAUCUCAUCACAGCCUUCAAAAGUGUAGCAUGUCCCAAAGAUUAAAGGAACAAUUAUUGAACUAUUUAUAAAAGCUUUUUUUAUUGAGCUUGGAGGCAUGCAUGGCUUUAUACCAAUUUGUGCAGGCAGAUUUUCUGGACAAAAGUUUAAAUGCCAUGAAAACAUUGCAAGAGGGCAAGAACUUGCUUUAUGGUAUGUCAUGGUGCUUUGAGAGAUGAGAAGAUGGCACACCUGAGUGGCUUUGCCACCAGUGCCAAAACAUAUGUGAGCACAUUGGUCAAAUUUAGAAAAAUUUCUCCCACUCAUGCGGGCUCGUAUUGCCAGCGGACAUUCUCCUCCGCAGAGGCUUUGUAGUUUGUUUUCUUUCUAUAUAAGUUUGACUUGCGAGCAGUAGCGGCUCCAAAUGUCCAUGAUGCCCCCUUUUAACCCCACGCUUGCUCCCCUGUGUGCCGCCACUUCUCUACCUAGCCCACUACUGCCCGCAAGUCAAACUUAUAGAAAGAAAGAAAACAAACUCAUUCUCAUAGAAAGAAAACAAACUACAAAGCCUCUGCGGAGGAGAGUGGUCAGCGGACAUCUUACAGAAAGUGGGCAGUUCUGUGCACAGUACACACAGUACAUAACCUUAUGCACAUAUUUGUAAAUAACAAAUAAUAAUGAAUAUAGUCAUUCAUAUUUAUAAACACGUUAAAAACAGACAAGUUAAUUUACUUUACAAAUGUUGAUUUUUUAAUAAGAUGGGUUGCAUCAAACCAGUUCUACUCAGUAUAUUUUAUGCAUUUACAUAUAGCAGACUUGCUAGCUUUGACCACAUUAGGAUGCCAUGAACCUUUUUUGGAUAUGUUAAUUGUGUGAUAAAAUCCAAUUCGCAUAAAAGUUGUAUGUAGUUUGAUGUAUUUUAUAGACACAUCAAAGCUAGGGCCGUUCAUAUGGGGGCUAAUAUACUGUGUCAGUUCACUUGCAAUCAGGGACGCCGGAACGAUAAAAAGGCAAGGGGGGGGGCAAACGCACACCAAAGGGCACCUCUGUAAACCUCGGUGAAGAUAUAAACCUACAAUUAUGUGUUGACUUGCCAAUGAAAGCAAAUGCACUUAAUCAGGUCACAUUCAAGAUCACACCUCAUGAUUUUGCCCAUGCAAAAAGCAUCACUGGAAACAUG
Paramuricea clavata is the source of this 1503-nucleotide non-coding RNA. The record is from the annotation of a GenBank genome assembly. Lineage: Eukaryota; Metazoa; Cnidaria; Anthozoa; Malacalcyonacea; Plexauridae.